RNAcentral lists this long non-coding RNA (386 nucleotides) under Carica papaya (papaya). Its description in RNAcentral is "long non-coding RNA (CPAP_LNC006182)". The record is from RNAcentral. Lineage: Eukaryota; Viridiplantae; Streptophyta; Magnoliopsida; Brassicales; Caricaceae.
AAAUAAAAAAAAAUAAAAGAAAAAGAGAAAUGUGUAAUGAAGCAUUAAUGGUCUGAAAGUAUGUAUCUGUAUUGACAUGCAUAAUGCAUCAAGUAUCUCGUUAGAUUUUUUAUCUCUAAGGGGUAUCUGUUCUCCUAACCCCAUUCAGGAUAGCUAUUUCUCCCUUCCCCAUCUGGUCUGGAAAGACGUAAGAGGACUGCUCCCUAUGGAUGACGACGUACCUUUUAGCGAGAGUGGUAAUACAAAUAUCUAUUAGGGGUCACUUUUGGCUCAGUACUAUCAUGACCAUAGAAUAUCUUAUAGGACCACUACAGCCGAUAUAGCUAUGGUCGUAGAUAGUACCAUAGUUUGGCAAUCCGAAAAUGUGGUUGAACAAAUUGCCAUUA